AUUGAACGCUGGCGGCAGGCCUAACACAUGCAAGUCGAGCGGAUGAGUGGAGCUUGCUCCAUGAUUCAGCGGCGGACGGGUGGGUAAUGCCUAGGAAUCUGCCUGGUAGUGGGGGACAACGUUUCGAAAGGAACGCUAAUACCGCAUACGUCCUACGGGAGAAAGUGGGGGAUCUUCGGACCUCACGCUAUCAGAUGAGCCUAGGUCGGAUUAGCUAGUUGGUGAGGUAAAGGCUCACCAAGGCGACGAUCCGUAACUGGUCUGAGAGGAUGAUCAGUCACACUGGAACGGAGACGCGGUCCAAACUCCUACGGGAGGCAGCAGUGGGGAAUAUUGGACAAUGGGCGAAAGCCUGAUCCAGCCAAGCCGCGUGUGUGAAGAAGGUCUUCGGAUUGUAAAGCACUUUAAGUUGGGAGGAAGGGCAGUAAGUUAAUACCUUGCUGUUUUGACGUUACCAACAGAAUAAGCACCGGCUAACUUCGUG
This 484-nucleotide ribosomal RNA is filed under the name uncultured bacterium. Its description in RNAcentral is "partial 16S ribosomal RNA". It matches the Rfam family "Bacterial small subunit ribosomal RNA", at positions 30 to 507 of the family's 1533-position model. The record is from RNAcentral.